Molecule: ribosomal RNA, 120 nt
Organism: Pteropus vampyrus (large flying fox)
Lineage: Eukaryota; Metazoa; Chordata; Mammalia; Chiroptera; Pteropodidae
Source: Ensembl
GACUACGGCAGUGCUACUCUGAACGUGCCCAAUCUCGUUUGAUCUCAGAAGCUAAGCAGGGUUGGGGCCUGGUUAGUACUUGGAUGGGAGACCACCUAGGAAUACCGAGUGCUGUAGGCG